This 776-nucleotide ribosomal RNA is filed under the name uncultured bacterium. RNAcentral describes it as "bacterial SSU rRNA". It matches the Rfam family "Bacterial small subunit ribosomal RNA", at positions 356 to 1155 of the family's 1533-position model. The record is from RNAcentral.
GAAGGAUCUUGGGCAAUGGGCGAAGCCUGACCCAGCGACACCGCGUGGGGGACGAAGGUUUUCGGAUCGUAAACCCCUUUUCUCGGGGAAGAAUACUGACGGUACCCGAGGAAUAAGUCUCGGCCAACUACGUGCCAGCAGCCGCGGUAAUACGUAGGAGGCGAACGUUAUCCGGAUUUACUGGGCGUAAAGGGAGCGUAGGCNGGUUGUUUAAGUCGGGUGUGAAAUCUCUCAACUCAAUUGAGAGCGGCCAUCCGAUACUGGGCAACUCGAGGGCGGCAGAAGGAAACGGAAUUCCGAGUGUAGCGGUGAAAUGCGUUGAUAUUCGGAAGAACACCAGUGGCGAAGGCGGUUUCCUAGGCUGUUCCUGACGCUGUGGCUCGAAAGCGUGGGGAGCGAAGCGGAUUAGAUACCCGCGUAGUCCACGCCCUAAACGGUGAACACUAGAUAUGGGGAGUAUCGACCCUUCUCGUGUCGAAGCUAACGCUUUAAGUGUUCCGCCUGGGGAGUACGGCCGCAAGGCUAAAACUCAAAGGAAUUGACCGGGGGCCCGCACAAGCAGCGGAGCGUGUGGUUUAAUUCGAUGCUACACGAAGAACCUUACCAGGGCUUGACAUGUUGGAAGUAGGAACCCGAAAGGGGGACGACCCGUAUCCAGUCGGGAGCCUUCACAGGUGCUGCAUGGCUGUCGUCAGCUCGUGCCGUGAGGUGUUGGGUUAAGUCCCGCAACGAGCGCAACCCUCGNGCUAUGUUGAAUUCUCAUAGCANACUGCCUU